Molecule: ribosomal RNA, 163 nt
Filed under: Sinolimprichtia alpina
Lineage: Eukaryota; Viridiplantae; Streptophyta; Magnoliopsida; Apiales; Apiaceae
Description: 5.8S ribosomal RNA
Rfam family: 5.8S ribosomal RNA
About the family: 5.8S ribosomal RNA (5.8S rRNA) is a component of the large subunit of the eukaryotic ribosome.
Source: RNAcentral
AAACGACUCUCGGCAACGGAUAUCCCGGCUCUCGCAUCGAUGAAGAACGUAGCGAAAUGCGAUACUUGGUGUGAAUUGCAGAAUCCCGUGAACCAUCGAGUCUUUGAACGCAAGUUGCGCCCGACGUCACUAGGCUGAGGGCACGCCUGCCUGGGUGUCACGC